CACCUACAGAGAGGCAAGUAGAACUCCUUGUUCCUUUCCUAAAGAUCUGCAAUAACAGAUUAAUAAUAGCCUCAGCCUGUGAAUCCUGUUUCUGUAUCUGAUUGACUCAGGAGUCUCCUUUGAUAACCACAUGCCUGCAGAUGGUACUGUUCUGAGAAGAUCAUCAGCCUUAUCUGAGGACCUGCACUCUGGUCCUCAUACAGCAGAGACAGCCCUUUCCACUCUGGAGGUAAGACUGGGAAAAUUUGAGUCCAGAGCCCUCUGCUGCCUCUGGGCCCACUGCCUGUCCAAACACACCUGCAGGAGGAAAGAAGGACCUUGUUACAAACAAGAGAAGAAGAGAUCAAAGCAGCUGCAUCAUCUCAUUAACCUUCACCCCCAGAGAAGAUGGCAAGGAAAACUUAGAAACAAACAAAAUCAAGCCACUCUUCCUGCCUUCAGUGGAGCUUCAAACCAGAGGAUGUUACCUGGAACACACUGGAGAGUCAUAACCUUGGAGUCGUCCUAAGUUGCUUCAGUCAUGUCCAACUCUUUGCAAACCUGUGGAAUGCAGCCCUCUGUCGGUGGGAUUCUCCAGGCAAGAAUACUGCAGUGAGCGGUCAUCUCCUUCUGCAGGGGAUCUUCCAGACCCAGGGAGUGAACCCGCAUCUCUUAUGUCUCCUCCACUGGCAGGCAAUUUACCUCUAACACCACCUGGGAAACCCCAAUUUUGCAACAGUUGAUAUAAAAAAUUGCAAUUGAAUUUGAAAUCCAGUUGCAUUAUCAAGGCAUUUUAAUUUUUUUUAGAAAGAACCCCCUUUUAUAAUGUGAACACUUUUUUAAAGUCUUUAUUAGAUUUGUUACAGUAUUGCUUCAUUCUGCUAUGUUUGUUUGUUUGGUUUGGCUGCGAGGCAUGUGGGAUCUUAGUUCCCCAACCAGGGAUGAAACCUGCAUGCCCUGCCUUGGAAGGCAAAGUCUUAGCCACUGGGCUGCCAGGGAAGUGCCAUUAUCAAGGGAUUUUUCAACCUAACAUUUGUCAGUGAAAGAAAAAAAAAGCUAUUUGAUUCUUCAAGUAUCCUGCGUGAAUUGUUAUUAUGUAUUUUAAAAUUUUAUUCCCAACCUUGAGAGUAAUGGCUUUUGUCCAUGAUGGCUAUCAAAAUGUAAAGAGAUCAUCAUUUAAAAUCUUGAUCACAAUUGCAUGUAACUAUUUCAUGCAGAAAACUUGAUUUUUUUUAGAAAAGUAUGUUUAAGGAGGAAAUCUCAAGUUUCUCUUUUAAAAAUGUGAAAAGAUUGUAUGUGGAAGUGUUACACUUUUUCCUAAAAUGAUUAUGAAAUAUUUAAAAAAUUAAUUUUUAACGUAAUUAUGAAACAUAAAAAUAGUUCUUUUUUCACCAAUACCUGUGAAGGUGCCCCAACCCCCCUCCACCUCACCGCAAUGUGCUAAACAAGUACCAUCUAUUUCAGUGUAUGCCAUGAAGGCUCGAGAGGCACAGUAUUAAAGAGAAACUUUUGCGUGAAAAAUACACAAGAAUGUACUUUAUAGCAGGAUUCUUUAUAAUAGAAAACAAACAGAAAACCACCCAAAAGAUCGCUGACCACAGAAUGGAUAAAGGGUGGUGAGCUCAUUC
Bos taurus (domestic cattle) is the source of this 1607-nucleotide long non-coding RNA. The record is from Ensembl. Lineage: Eukaryota; Metazoa; Chordata; Mammalia; Artiodactyla; Bovidae.